AACCGGAGCUAAUACCGGAUAAUAUAUUGAACCGCAUGGUUCAAUAGUGAAAGACGGUUUUGUCUGUCACUUAUAGAUGGAUCCGCGCCGCAUUAGCUAGUUGGUAAGGUAACGGCUUACCAAGGCAACGAUGCGUAGCCGACCUGAGAGGGUGAUCGGCCACACUGGAACUGAGACACGGUCCAGACUCCUACGGGAGGCAGCAGUAGGGAAUCUUCCGCAAUGGGCGAAAGCCUGAACGGAGCAACGCCGCGUGAGUGAUGAAGGUCUUCGGAUCGUAAAACUCUGUUAUUAGGGAAGAACAAAUGUGUAAGUAACUAUGCACGUCUUGACGGUACCUAAUCAGAAACGCCACGGCUAACUACGUGCCAGCCAGCCGCGGUUAAUACGGUAGGUGGCAAGCGUUAUCCGGAAUUAGUUGGGACGUAAAGCGCGCGUUAGGCGGGUUUUUUAAUCUGAUGUGAAACGCCCACGGCCAACGGUGAGGUCAUUGGAAACUGGAAACUUGAGUGCAGAAGAGGAAAGUGGAAUUCCAUGUGUAAGCGGUAGAAAUGACCG
Molecule: ribosomal RNA, 558 nt
Filed under: uncultured bacterium
Lineage: Bacteria
Description: bacterial SSU rRNA
Rfam family: Bacterial small subunit ribosomal RNA
Source: RNAcentral